ACUCGUAUUCUUCUUUAUCUCCUCUUUUCAUUGUUCUUGUCCUUCUUGUUGAACUAGUUGCACCAUUUCCUCUGCUGAAGAACAAAUCAAAAAUGUUGAUGAUUGUAUAAGAUCUAUGCAAAUCUGACACAAAAGGAAUAGCAGUUCUGCACAACUUACUUUGCUAGGUCAAUCAUGUUAUUUCACUCAUAUAUACAAGAAUAUGUUAUUCUUUCGAGGCCUACUGUACGUAAUAAAAUCAGAUGUCUGAUUGUUGUUUUAGCCAUAAUCAAUAUUAGUUUCACAAAAUCAACAUUAUGAUCUUCUGCAGUUGACUUAGAUUCUGGUAGUUGAAAAAUAAUUUAGUGUACACGUAGUAUUCAAUUAGUGUGUUGUUUCACAAAUCUAACUGCCGAACAUAUGAGUAUUAACUAAAGCGAAUACUGAUUCAUAUAGGAUGUGCAUGAAACUGCUCCUAGCAAUGCAACAGAUUGCGUUGAUGAAAGGGUACCAAAGGUUGGCAUGCAAUUUGUAUCUGAAGAGGAAGCUUACUCCUUUUAUAACAAGUAUGCAAAGGCUAUUGGUUUUAGCAUCCGAAGAGGGAGUCAACAUAAAGUAAAGAAUUCUUCCAUGAUACAACAAAGAACAUUUACAUGCUCCCGUCAAGGUAUGGGCUGCUUGUAUUUUGUUUUGGUUAUAUUACUAUUGGUAUCACUAAGAUACUUAUUUCAAUUGACAGGAUUCCGUGCAGAAGAUAAGAGAGAGGAUUCUUUCAGUUACAGUAGGCCCGAAACACGAUGUGGCUGUCAAGCCCAUAUGAAGAUAAGUCUCAAAAAUGGAUUAUAUUAUGUGUAUGAAUUUGAGGCUGCACAUAAUCAUAAUCUUGCUACUGGAGACAUGGCCUUAUACUUAAGAUCCCAAAGAAAAGUGACCGAAGCACAAAUAGCAAAUGUUGAGGUCGCAAAGUCUGUAGGCAUUUCGAAUAAAGCAACUAUUGAUCUUAUGGCCAAAGAAGCAUGUGGACUUCCAAAUCUUGGGUUUGCACCUGAAGAUAUGAAAAAUCGUUUGUACUCUAAGAGAACAUUGCAAGCAAAGAAAGGAGACACAGGGGGAGUGUUAGAAUACAUGGAGAAGAAGGUAAAAGAAGAUGCCAAUUUUUUCUAUUCAAUUCAAGUUGAUGAGGAUGAUCUGAUAACUAAUAUUUUCUGGGCUGACUCGAAAAUGAUAUCGGACUAUGCAAUGUUUGGUGAUGUUAUAUGCUUUGACACCACAUAUAGGAAACUAGAUGAUGGGCGUCCCUUUGGUUUGAUUGUUUGGGUGAAUAAUCACAAGAAAACUAUGGUCUUUGGUGCUACACUUCUCUAUGAUGAAACUGCUGAAAGUUUUGGUUGGCUUUUUAGAACAUUUCUAACAGCCAUGUCUGGAAAACAUCCAAGGACUAUUCUGACCGAUGAAGAUGCAGCAAUGGCCAAGGCAAUUAGUAAAGUCCUUCCUCACUCUCACCAUAGACUUUGCGUGUGGCAUAUGAAUCAAAAUGCUUGCAAGCACCUUGCUGGGGUUGUUGAAGAAUAUAAGAAGUUCAAUGCUGAUUUUCAGCAUUGUAUCUAUGAUAUUGAGGAAGAAGAAGAUUUUAUAAAUGAAUGGAAUAGAAUGCUAGAAAGAUAUGGACUACGUGACAAUACGUGGCUGCAAAGGUUGUUUGAGAAAAGGGAGCAAUGGGCACUAGUGUAUGGCAGAAAUACAUUCUCAGCCCACAUGAGCACUACCCAAAGAAGUGAAAGCAUGAAUAAUGAACUAAAGCGGUACAUUAGUAUUAAAUAUGACAUGCUUACUUUUUUCGAGCAUUUUGAGCGCCUAGUUGCGGAUAAAAGAUUUGUAGAGGUCAAGUGUGACUUCAAGGCCUCACAAAGUACUCCCAAGCUGAAGGCAGAAGGUAGCUAUGUGUUAAGGCAAGCCGCAACUACAUAUACUCCCGCAAUAUUCAAGAUGUUUCAGGAGCAAGUGCUUCGGACCCUGAACUAUGACACAUUUCUUUGUGAUUCAAGUGAUGAAGAGAAGAAGGUUUAUACAGUAAAAUUUCAUGGAACGCAACGUGAGCAUGUUGUCAGUUUUUAUCCAAACGAAGAAAAAGUCAGUUGCAGUUGCAAGAAGUUUGAAUUUGCUGGAAUCCUCUGCUCUCAUUGCUUAAAGAUACUUGAUAUUAAUAAUAUCAAGCAUAUCCCUGAACAAUAUAUAUUGAAAAGAUGGACAGUUGAUGCGAAAGUGCUAGAGAUAACAAGCAACCGCAAUUUGCACGAGGAUCUAAAAGCAAGAAUGACAAACUUUUACAAGGACUUGUGCAGAAUGUUUAUCCACAUAGCUGCUCGCGCCGCAGAGUCCGAUGAAACAUAUGAUAUGGCUGCUAAAUGCGCAGAGCAGCUAGCACGAGAUGUGGAGCAAAGCUUGAAAGUUAGAGUUGAUCCAGACCCAAAUCCGGAUUUGGGUGACUCCUCUGUUUCACAAGGUAUAUAUUUAUAUACUAUACUAGUAGUUCCAUAGAGUAUUUUCAAAGUAAGACUUGCAUUUAAUUUUACGGUUGCAGGUCUGAACAUCGAGUCUACUAGAGUUUCAAAGCAUAACGAGGGGCUUCACAUGCCAAGAGGUAUGAAGGUAAAGGAGAAGACUGUACGAGGGUCAGCGAGACCCAUUGGUGGCUUGGAGAAAGCAAAAACAACGAAGAAAAAGAAGACAGAUGAUCCUUUACAACUACAACCUGAAAUGCCUUUCGCAAAUGAAAUGCCUACAAAUAACCCAAUCUUAAUGGUAUAAGAAGUCUAAACUUUUUGACUUUAUCUACUUUUCAAACUUCUGCGACACUAAGCUUUGCUAUUAAUUUUCAUAGUGUCAAUUCGGAGAAAAUAUUGUACCAGGAUCAGGAAGACCCGUUGGUGGCUCAGAGAAAGCAAUAACAAAGAAGAAAAAGAAGGCAGUCCAUUCUUUACAACAACGACCUGAAAUGCCUUUGACAAACCAAAUGCAUGGGUAUCUACCACAGUACAACCCAACCCAAAUGGUAUAAGAAGUGUACUUUUUAAACUAUUUUUCAUUUUCAAUCACUUAUUAUUUUUCAUUUUCAAUCACUUAUGACCUAAGCUUUGCUAUUUAUCUGCAUAGGUUCAUCUGGGAGCUCCGCCAAAUCAUGUGUACCCCUAUUUAGCACAUUACAACCCAAGUAUGCAACAAUCCAUUGGUCUGUCGACCCCUACGAUGAUGCUAGGACAAAAUCUAUUACUCUUCCAACAACAGACUCGUACCAGUGGUACUUGUACCCCUAUGAUGAUGACAGGACAUAAUCUACCAUUCUUCCAACAACAGAAUCCUACCAUUGGUACCUCUAGCCGUACGAUGAUGCCGGAACAGAAUCUAUCAUUCUUUCAACAGCAGACUCCUACCAGUGGUACCUUUGCCCUUAUGAUGAUGCCCGGACAGAAUCUAUCAUUUUUCCAGCAACAAAAUCCUACCAGUGGUACCUCUACCCCGACGAUGAUGCCAGGACAAAAUCUACCAUUCUCCCAACAACAAAAGCCAGCUUAAUCAAUGUUAUAGAUUUUUGUUUCAUGUACUUGUGUGCAAUUCUAUUAGAACCUACGAGUAUACGACCAUGGAUUGAAGGAGACUAUCUAUAUCAAUCAGCAAGUAAUUGAAUAAGCAAUUUGUGACUCUGAUAAAUAUAAAAAUAGUAUUAUCUGUCAUGCAUCAUGUAUAAACUGUACUAUUACCAACAUCAUAGAUUUGUUUGUCUAACCUGACAAACAGACCAGUAGUCGAUGACUAUGGUAAUGGAGCGCCAUUGUCACCUGGAUGAGGAUCAAUCCAACCAUAUGACUUUGCAUGCAUCGCUCUAAGGAGUAGUUUGUUCACUUAGUUGAACUGUGGCCUCAUCCUGUAUGCAAAUAUCACCAUCAGUAGCUAUAUUAAUUUCAGUUUAUUUUCAACCAGUACACGAAACCAUCAGCAUUUUGUGCGAUGAAAGAUAUUCUCAUGUCCGAAUCCACUGUGUUUGAACUAUGUAUUUUGUUGCCUCUAAUAUUAAACAUCUUUAAAGAAAUAUCAAAUUGAGCACCUUCAGCACGCAGAAAACAGUCAUCUAACUAGGUAUCCAGGACAUGUAGAAACUAAUUUCGGUCUAUAAUUUUGCAAUCACAUAAUUUUAGCUUUUAACGAAUCACUAUAUGGAACAAAUUAAUUUGCAAGGCCCCAGUGUGCAUGUGCGCUCAAUUGGUAGUAGCUAGCUGUUGACUUGGUCAGAUGUGAACUGAAUGGCAAACAAACCAGAGGAUACAUCUGUAUUCUGAACAAAACAGUAAAGAGGAGGAUGAAAGGGAGCGACGGUGAGUUGCCGUACUAACCAUGGCGCGCAGCAGGCGAGGUCGGCAGCUGCGUGAAUGGUGUCGGGGCCCCGAAGACCCGCUGGAUGGCGGCCGCCCUCGUCGCUCGCCGCGGCCUCUGCCCUGCCACCGCCGCCGUGGUCUUCAGUGGCGGCACAACAGCCACCACUACCACCUCCACUAUCCCGACCCGAGCUCCACCAUGGCUGCUAGCAACUCCAAGACCUGGCCUUUGGCGCGAGGACGAAUCAAGAUGGGGAGCCGGUCUUGCGACGGGAGAAGCCGCAAUCUGGGACGGGCCGGCGGACCUCCUGCUGGAGGCCGCGACGACGGUACGGGGCGGUAGCAGAUCCACUCGAUGCCUCCGCUCCAGACGGUCGACUGUCGGCAGGGAAGGCGAAAGAGGAGGAACGAAUACGUAUUGGGGCAAACGGAAAUACGAGAGCUUCGUGUUUUUUUUUUGCUAAAAAAAAGACACGCGGGGAAGGGAAUCUGGCGCUGCCAUUAGAUGAAAAAUUAGCGAUGGGGAGUACGGAUGAGAGCACGGAACGAGAGCAGGC
Molecule: long non-coding RNA, 4906 nt
Filed under: Triticum aestivum (bread wheat)
Lineage: Eukaryota; Viridiplantae; Streptophyta; Magnoliopsida; Poales; Poaceae
Description: long non-coding RNA (TAES_LNC024912)
Source: RNAcentral